GGGAGGUGAUUACAAGUGACUCAUAAUCCCUUGGUCGUAGGUUCGAGUCCUACCGGGCCCA
Molecule: transfer RNA, 61 nt
Filed under: Pseudomonadota bacterium
Lineage: Bacteria; Pseudomonadati; Pseudomonadota
Description: tRNA-Ser
Rfam family: tRNA
About the family: Transfer RNA (tRNA) molecules are approximately 80 nucleotides in length. Their secondary structure includes four short double-helical elements and three loops (D, anti-codon, and T loops).
Source: RNAcentral